AUGAUUUUUUUUAAAACAGUUGAUGUUACAGGCUUCACUCGUCCUAAAGUGAGCGUCCUGCCGCCCUCCAGUGAAGAGAUUUCCACAAAGAAAACAGCAACACUGAUGUGUGUGCUCAACAAGGGUUUCCCCUCAGACUGGAGUGUGAUGUGGAAGGUGGACGGGAGCAGCAGAUCUCAGGACAGCAGUGUUGGGCUCCUGGAGAAGGACGGUCUGUACAGCUGGAGCAGCAGUCUGACUCUCUCUGAGCAGGAGUGGAGCUCAGUGCUCUCAGUGAGCUGUGAGGCCAAACACAAAGAUCCCAGUCAUACAGUAACUGGAGAAUUCAGGAGAGAUGAUGAGUGUUCACACUAG
Molecule: non-coding RNA, 354 nt
Organism: Triplophysa dalaica
Lineage: Eukaryota; Metazoa; Chordata; Actinopteri; Cypriniformes; Nemacheilidae
Source: the annotation of a RefSeq genome assembly